Molecule: long non-coding RNA, 1508 nt
Filed under: Pan troglodytes (chimpanzee)
Lineage: Eukaryota; Metazoa; Chordata; Mammalia; Primates; Hominidae
Description: lncRNA (ENSPTRG00000053602.1)
Source: RNAcentral
GCAAGAUGAAAAUGGCAUGUGCUAGUGAUUCAUAAUAUGUUGCUUUAAGUUUAGUGCCAACUGGUCUACAUCGUUGAGAAUGUUUAGUUUGAUGGUUCACACAACUUGGCUUAAGUAUAUGACCAACAAUGUAUGAGGGAGCCUGCUAUAAAGACUUUUCUGCACUUCCUUUAAAUUAUUAUAGUAAGCUCAAAUCUUGAAGGUUUAUAAUAUACAGAUAAAAUGUGUCCAUGAGACUGAGAAAGGAUCUUUAGGGAGAAAGGCUCUGUUCCUGAAAGACAGACUUUCAAUGAUUUCCUGCAUUUUAUUUCUGUUGUACUUUACCUUUACCUUUAUUAAACACUAAUAAGGUGGUUCUUAUAGGGCCUCAUAGGACUUUUUAGUUUUCCAACCUAUUCAUACUUGGUGCAAACCUAGUAAUUUUUUGCGUGAUAGUAUUGGGAUUUUAUUCUGAGGCUAGGCUUCACACUGUAAAAACAGCUUUUUGGAAUUGUAUCAUUUUCAGUCUUUCCAUCGUGUUCCACUGUCCCAGCCACACACCAGACAUGAAGACUACAAGCAACCUCAAAAGGUACAGCUGUUGGGAGCUGCCUCUCCUGCCCUCAAUCUCCUUGCAUGUGGUUCCAGAGGGAAGAAGAGGGGAAAAAAAGGAUGAAGAAUAUUGUUUCAGUGCUGGGGGAGCGGAAACCAGACGAUCCAGCGGCCACAGGACGAGUCGCCCCAACUCAACCCCAGCAGGACGCUGGAAGGGCCUCCCUUGCCCACCUCUCUUCGCUGGCACUGGCCUCCCACACCCGGGUCUGCAGUCCCUCCACCAUCUCACAGGCCUCUCCACUUGCCCGAGCUCUCAGCCACCAGGAGACAGACGGAAGGGGCUUCUGGGCUGUGUUGGGAGCGGGCACUGUCCCCUACUCACUCCUGCACAGUUUCCCAAAGUCCAGCGACCUCCAAUCCUCCUUGGGGAAAAAAAUACCAGUACCCAGACACCUCUGCACCCUGUUAUAUGACUGGGCUUGCUUCAGGAAUAUCUUACAAAGAAGAAGAAGAAGAAGGAGGAAUGGCUUGGAGUCAUGUUUACAUCUAGUUCUUCUGAUCCAUUCACAUCUGGAGAGUUUAUUUGUAACUCCCUCUAUAACUCUCUGUUUGGAGGCACUGGUGGCUCUACUGACAGACUGAUGUCUAGGAAAUAUUGCUCUAUGUCUAACCGUACCUAAAUGUGCUGUGGUUGUAUUUACAGAUUUACGUUUGAGGGAAAUAUAAUUAUUUCCAUUGUAUUUGUGCAUAUACAGUAGUUAUAGGAGCAGAUUUAUAUAUGGGAAAAUAUGCGACUCUCUUACAGCCAUCCGGCUUUAUGUACAUUUGAUAUCCUGACAGAUUUCUAUCUCUGAACAGCUAUAUAGAUAAAAACGUAUAUUGUUAGAAUUAUGUAUGAGGAGAUAUAUACUUAUUGAUUGCAAAAUAGUGUAUUUAGAGCAUUCACUUAGAGCCAUAUAUGGCUAUGGAGAGAU